This 785-nucleotide ribosomal RNA is filed under the name uncultured bacterium. RNAcentral's name for it is "bacterial SSU rRNA". It matches the Rfam family "Bacterial small subunit ribosomal RNA", at positions 1 to 771 of the family's 1533-position model. The record is from RNAcentral.
UUAGAGUUUGAUCCUGGCUCAGGACCUUUGCUGGCGGCAUGCCUAAUACAUGCAAGUCGAACGCUGAAGCACUCUGCUUGCAGAGUGCGGAUGAGUGGCGAACGGGUGAGUAACACGUGGGAAAUCUGCCUAGGAGUGGGGGAUAACAUUCGGAAACGAAUGCUAAUACCGCAUAUCUUUUUGAACCGCAUGGUUCUUAAACGAAAGACGGCUUCGGCUGUCGAUCUUAGAUGAUCCCGCGGCGUAUUAGUUAGUUGGUGGGGUAAAGGCCUACCAAGACCAUGAUACGUAGCCGACCUGAGAGGGUGAUCGGCCACACUGGGACUGAGACACGGCCCACACUCCUACGGGAGGCAGCAGUAGGGAAUCUUCCACAAUGGGUGAAAACCUGAUGGAGCAAUGCCGCGUGAAUGAAGAAGGUCUUCGGAUCGUAAAGUUCUGUUAUUAGAGAAGAACAAGUCAAGGAGUAACUGUCUUGACUUUGACGGUACCUAACCAGAAAGUCACGGCUAACUACGUGCCAGCACCCGCGGUAAUACGUAGGUGACAAGCGUUGUCCGGAAUUAUUGGGCGUAAAGGGAGCGCAGGCGGUUGGAAUAGUCUGAAGUGAAACCCCACGGCUUUACCGGGGAAGGUCAUUGGAAACUGUCCAACUUGAAUACAAAAAAGGGAAGUGGAAUUCCCAGUGUAACGGUGAAAUGCGUAUAUAUUUGGAAGAACACCGGUGGCAGAAGGAAAUUUACGGUUUUGGUAUUGACGCUGAAGCUCCGAAAGGCGGUGGGAAA